This is a long non-coding RNA of Oncorhynchus tshawytscha (Chinook salmon), 1189 nucleotides long. The record is from Ensembl. NCBI's taxonomy places the organism in Eukaryota, Metazoa, Chordata, Actinopteri, Salmoniformes, Salmonidae.
CUAAAUGUACAUAAACACACAAACAUGGGUACGAGGACCCGACGCGCACCUAUACAACAAUCACACUACACUGACAAUAAAACAAUCUCUGACAAAGACAUGAGGGGAAACAUAGGGUUAAAUACACAACAGGUAAUGAAUGGGAUUGAAAACAGGUGUGUGGGAAGACAAGACAAAACCAAUGGAAAAUGAAAAAAGGAUCAAUGAUGGCUAGAAGACCGGUGACGUCGAAAGCCGAGCACCGCCCGAACAAGGAGAGGCAACGACUUCGGCAGAAGUCGUGACAGAUAUACAACCCCCUCAAUAGAAGGUAGGCCAUUACCACUUUAAGAAUACGGAUAUAGAAUCCCCUCAAUAGAAGGUAGGACCAUUACCACUUUAAGAAUAAAGCCAUUACCACUUUAAGAAUAAGGAUAUAGAGCCCCCUCCCCCUCAAUAGAAGGUAGACCAUUACCACUCUAUGAAUUAGGAUAUAGAAUCCCCUCAAUAGAAGGUAGGCCAUUACCACUUUAAGAAUAAGGAUAUAGAAUCCCCUUCCCCUCAAUAGAAGCUAGGGCCAUUACCACUCUAAGAAUAAGGAUAUAGAGCCCCCUCCCCCUCAAUAGAAGGUAGGCCAUUACCACUUUAAGAAUAAGGAUAUAGAACCGCCUCCUCCCCCUCAAUAGAAGGUAAAAACCUUUCAAUUAAAGCAGUGAGAAACAAACGAAAGUGGCAACAUUCGGGAAGUAUUCAGACCCCUUGAAUUUUCCACAUUUUGUUACGGUACAGCCUUCUAAAAUGUAUUAAAUAAUUGUUUCCCCUCAUUAAUCUGCAUACAAUACCAAUAAUGAAAAAACAAAAACAGGUUUUUAAAAUUUUAUGCAAAUUAAUAAAAAUGUACAAAACGGAAAUAUCACAUUUACAUAAGUAUUCAGACUCUUUACUCAGUACUUUGUUGAUGCACCUUUGGCAGCGAUUACAGCCUCAAGUCUUCUUGGGUAUGACACUACAAGCUUGGCACACCUGUAUUUGGUGAGUUUCUCCCAUUCUUCUCUGCAGAUCCUCUCAAGCUCUGUCAGGUUGGAUGGGGAGCGUUGCUGAGCAGCAUUUUCAGGUCUCUCCAGAGAUGUUUGAUCGGGUUCAAGUCCGGGCUCUGGCUGGGCCACUCAAGGACAUUGAGACUUGUUCCGAACCCACUCUUGUGUUGUCU